RNAcentral lists this ribosomal RNA (301 nucleotides) under uncultured bacterium. RNAcentral's name for it is "partial 16S ribosomal RNA". It matches the Rfam family "Bacterial small subunit ribosomal RNA", at positions 509 to 807 of the family's 1533-position model. The record is from RNAcentral.
CAGCCGCCACGGGAAUACGUAGGUGGCAAGCGUUGUCCGGAAUUAUUGGGCGUAAAGCGCGCGCAGGUGGUUUAAUAAGUCUGAUGUGAAAGCCCACGGCUCAACCGUGAAGGGUCAUUGGAAACUGUUAAACUUGAGUGCAGGAGAGGAGAGCGGAAUUCCAUGUGUAGCGGUGAAAUGCGUAGAUAUAAGGAGGAACACCAGUGGCGAAGGCGGCUCUCUGGUCUGUAACUGACGCUGAGGCUCGAAAGCGUGGGGAGCAAACAGGAUUAGAUACCCCUGUAGUCCCUGUCUCUUAUAC